CCUACGGGUGGCAGCAGUAGGGAAUAUUGCUCAAUGGGGGAAACCCUGAAGCAGCAACGCCGCGUGAAGGACGAAGGUUUUCGGAUUGUAAACCUCUUUUGUUAGAGAAGAUAAUGACGGUACCUAACCAAUAAGCACCGGCUAACUACGUGCCAGCAGCCGCGGUAAUACGGAGGGUGCAAGGGUUAUCCGGAAUUACUGGGCGUAAAGGGCGCGUAGGCGGGAUAGUAAGUCAGGUGUGAAAUCCUAGGGCCUAACCAUAGGACUGCAUUUGAAACUGUCUUUCUUGAGUAGGGGAGAGGUAGGUGGAAUGCUUGGUGUAGGGGUAAAAUGCGUAGAGAUCAAGAGGAAUACUGAUUGCGAAGGCGACCUGCUGG
RNAcentral lists this ribosomal RNA (377 nucleotides) under uncultured bacterium. RNAcentral's name for it is "partial 16S ribosomal RNA". It matches the Rfam family "Bacterial small subunit ribosomal RNA", at positions 338 to 732 of the family's 1533-position model. The record is from RNAcentral.